GCGAUUAGCUCAGGUGGUAGAGCACACCCCUGAUAAGGGUGCGGUCGCUGGUUCAAGUCCAGCAUCGCCCACCAAA
RNAcentral lists this transfer RNA (76 nucleotides) under uncultured Alphaproteobacteria bacterium. Its description in RNAcentral is "tRNA-Ile". It matches the Rfam family "tRNA". Rfam says of the family: Transfer RNA (tRNA) molecules are approximately 80 nucleotides in length. Their secondary structure includes four short double-helical elements and three loops (D, anti-codon, and T loops). Further hydrogen bonds mediate the characteristic L-shaped molecular structure. tRNAs have two regions of fundamental functional importance: the anti-codon, which is responsible for specific mRNA codon recognition, and the 3' end, to which the tRNAs corresponding amino acid is attached (by aminoacyl-tRNA synthetases). tRNAs cope with the degeneracy of the genetic code in two manners: having more than one tRNA (with a specific anti-codon) for a particular amino acid; and 'wobble' base-pairing, i.e. permitting non-standard base-pairing at the 3rd anti-codon position. Lineage: Bacteria; Pseudomonadati; Pseudomonadota; Alphaproteobacteria. The record is from RNAcentral.